This 483-nucleotide ribosomal RNA is filed under the name uncultured Desulfobulbus sp. RNAcentral's name for it is "bacterial SSU rRNA". It matches the Rfam family "Bacterial small subunit ribosomal RNA", at positions 903 to 1382 of the family's 1533-position model. The record is from RNAcentral. Lineage: Bacteria; Pseudomonadati; Thermodesulfobacteriota; Desulfobulbia; Desulfobulbales; Desulfobulbaceae.
AAAGGAAUUGACGGGGCCCGCACAAGCGGUGGAGUAUGUGGUUUAAUUCGAUGCAACGCGAAGAACCUUACCUGGUCUUGACAUCCCGGAGACCCUUAGGAAACUAGGGGUGCUUCCAUCUGGAAGAAUCUGGAGACAGGUGCUGCAUGGCUGUCGUCAGCUCGUGUCGUGAGAUGUUGGGUUAAGUCCCGCAACGAGCGCAACCCUUGCCUUUAGUUGCCAGCAGUUCGGCUGGGCACUCUAAAGGGACUGCCGGUGUUAAACCGGAGGAAGGUGGGGAUGACGUCAAGUCCUCAUGGCCUUUAUGACCAGGGCUACACACGUACUACAAUGGCCGAUACAAAGGGCAGCGACACUGCGAGGUGAAGCCAAUCCCGUAAAAUCGGUCUCAGUCCGGAUUGGAGUCUGCAACUCGACUCCAUGAAGUUGGAAUCGCUAGUAAUCGUGGAUCAGCAUGCCACGGUGAAUACGUUCCCGGGCCUU